This is an RNA transcript of Magnolia sinica, 1850 nucleotides long. It is a transcript of the gene named AT-rich interactive domain-containing protein 3-like, with no coding region annotated. The transcript has 14 exons. The record is from RefSeq and is a predicted model, not a curated record. NCBI's taxonomy places the organism in Eukaryota, Viridiplantae, Streptophyta, Magnoliopsida, Magnoliales, Magnoliaceae.
GCUUACGGGGGGUUUGGGCAUUUCCAACAUCAAAUGGGGUGGGCAUGAUCGAAUCCGGUCCAGCCCAUCGAGGGCUCCAAAAAUGCCAGCUCGCGCCACGUCGCACUGUCCAGUCUUCACUUCCCACUCUCUUCUCAUGGCAGGGAGUAGGGGCUAGGGCUUCCGAGGAGCCCGACAAGGACAAGAAAAAGGUCCAAUUUCAUGCAGAUCGCGGAAAAAGGUUUAUUUUGGCAGAAAUCAGGGCUCUUUCAUCAGAAUUCUAGGGCUUGUAAUUCCGCACGAAUCUCACCUUUACGGCCUCUUUCUUCUCCCAUUUGUUGAAUUCAGAGUCUAGAAGAGCUCAGCAACAUCAAUAUGAGCGAGGCGAAGGACACCGAGAAUCACACGCAGGUGCAUUUUAGCAACAACCCCGAUACCAUCGACCUUCCUCCCGAACCCGGCCCAACCAACCAGUCUGGCGGCUCCGAAAGCAAGAACAACGACAAGGAUACGGCCCGCCACGGCGAGAUGCCGGAUGCGGAGCCCGAGACGGAGAAUGGGGCGGGAGAGGUUCGGUACGAAAAGAAUCUCGAUGAGGAUGUGCCGCCGUUGCUGUCGAAUCAGGAGGCCAUUGGCCUGAUAGGCAACACAGGUAGCUCGAGCAGGUCUUUCCCGUGGGACCCGCAGUCGAACGAGGGCGACGAUUCAGGGACGGAUGAGGAACAGGCCACGUUCAUGAAGGAGCUGGAGAGUUUCUUUAGAGGGAGGGGCAUGGAGUUCAAGCCACCGAAGUUCUACGGGGAAGGAUUGAAUUGCCUCAAGUUGUGGAGAGCUGUGAUUAGAUUGGGCGGUUAUGACACGGUGACCUCGUGCAAGUUGUGGCGUCAAGUUGGAGAAUCUUUCAAUCCACCAAGGACUUGCACUACUGUCUCUUGGUCAUUCCGAUGUUUCUAUGAGAAGGCGCUCCUUGAUUAUGAAAGACAUAAAGUGCAUGGUGGUGAGCUCCAUGUGCAUGUUGCUUCCCCCGUGGAGCCAAUGGGUGUUGAAAAUCAGGUGGGGAGAAGUCAAGCUUUUGGACCAGUUAGGGUUAGAAGGGAUGCUGCAGCUCGUGCUAUGCAAGGUUGGCACUCUCAACGUCUUCUUAGCAAUGGUUAUGUUGGCGACUCACCUAUAAAGGAUAAGAGCCCAGUUUAUGUGCCAAAGCGCGAGAAGCAACUCAAAAGCCUCGGUGUACUCAAACGGAAAGAGCCAUCAAGCAUGGAGCAUGGUUACGAAGCUGCAUGCAUUAUAGGAUUGAACCAGCAUGUGGAUGCAAUGGUUGUUGAUAUUGGACCCUCCGCUGAUUGGGUGAAAAUCAAUGUGCGGAGAACUAAAGAUUGCUUUGAGAUCUAUGCAUUGGUGCCUGGGCUUCUGCGUGAGGAGGUGCGUGUUCAGUCUGAUCCGGCUGGCCGCUUGGUUAUAUCUGGCGAGCCAGAGCAUCCCGAUAAUCCAUGGGGAGUCACCCCCUUCAAAAAGGUAGUCAGCUUGCCUUCAAGAAUUGAUCCGCAACAGACUUCUGCAGUGGUCACCCUGCAUGGUCAAUUGUUUGUGCGUGCGCCUUUUGAGCAGUCUGCUUGGUAGCACAUGGGACUUAGCAAUCAAACUGCAGGUUUUGAUUUUUUUUAGUCCACGUCAACCAUUCGGGGCUUUCAAGUGUGAUGCCGUUCGUUAAUGCCACCAAGUUGCUGUGGGGCUUUUCUUCGGUUUAUGCACUCAAUUCAGCUCUUUGCAUUACUUGCUCUACAAACUAUGCUGGAGUUGUGCUCCAUCUGAAACCUGGUACAUACUAUUUGACUGCUGAAAAAAAAAAGAAAAAAGAAAAGAAAAGAAAA